GAACUGGUGCUGGUGGUGGAGUGCUGACUGGUGUCACCGCCGGUGGUGAUGAGGCCGCCGGAGGUGUGGCUGUUGGAGCAGCAGCUUUGGGGGAUGUAGCUGGAGGAGAUGAUUUGGGAGAAGCAACAGGAGCUGGUGUUGUUGGUGUAGUAGGAGGUGCUGCCACCGGAGAUGAAACAGGAGUGGUGGCAGCCGGAGUUGAUGGUGAGGUUGUUGGUGCAGCGGAAGGUGACUGGCCUCCGACGCCGGCGACGAUAAUGCAGAUGAAUGCGAGGGUGAAGAGAUUGUUACGAUCCAUAUUGAAAGUUUGAAAGCACUGUGUGUUUAUUUCUUUGUUUGUUGAGUUGAGAGAGAAAGAGAAGAGUGAGUGAGUGAGAGAGG
This 381-nucleotide long non-coding RNA is filed under the name Medicago truncatula (barrel medic). Its description in RNAcentral is "long non-coding RNA (MTRU_LNC002276)". The record is from RNAcentral. Lineage: Eukaryota; Viridiplantae; Streptophyta; Magnoliopsida; Fabales; Fabaceae.